RNAcentral lists this ribosomal RNA (643 nucleotides) under Nostoc sp. WUC1704. RNAcentral's name for it is "bacterial SSU rRNA". It matches the Rfam family "Bacterial small subunit ribosomal RNA", at positions 113 to 788 of the family's 1533-position model. Lineage: Bacteria; Bacillati; Cyanobacteriota; Cyanophyceae; Nostocales; Nostocaceae. The record is from RNAcentral.
ACGCGUGAGAAUCUAGCUUCAGGUCUGGGACAACCACUGGAAACGGUGGCUAAUACCGGAUGUGCCGGAAGGUGAAAGGCUUGCUGCCUGAAGAUGAGCUCGCGUCCGAUUAGCUAGUAGGUGGGGUAAGAGCCUACCUAGGCGACGAUCGGUAGCUGGUCUGAGAGGAUGACCAGCCACACUGGGACUGAGACACGGCCCAGACUCCUACGGGAGGCAGCAGUGGGGAAUUUUCCGCAAUGGGCGAAAGCCUGACGGAGCAAUACCGCGUGAGGGAGGAAGGCUCUUGGGUUGUAAACCUCUUUUCUCAGGGAAGAACACAAUGACGGUACCUGAGGAAUCAGCAUCGGCUAACUCCGUGCCAGCAGCCGCGGUAAUACGGAGGAUGCAAGCGUUAUCCGGAAUGAUUGGGCGUAAAGCGUCCGCAGGUGGCUGUGUAAGUCUGCUGUCAAAGAGCAAAGCUCAACUUUGUAAAGGCAGUUGAAACUACACGGCUAGAGUGCGUUCGGGGCCAGAGGGAAUUCCUGGUGUAGCGGUGAAAUGCGUAGAGAUCAGGAAGAACACCGGUGGCGAAGGCGCUCUGCUAGGCCGCAACUGACACUGAGGGACGAAAGCUAGGGGAGCGAAUGGGAUUAGAUACCCC